AACGCACAUUGCGCCUAUUAGUAUUCUAGUAGGCAUGCCUGUUCGAGCGUCAUUUCAGUCUCAGACUUCUGAAGUUGGAAUAUGUGAUCUCACAGUUCCUAAAUACAAUAACGGAUAUAAUGAUAGCCGGGUGUAGUAAAAUCUCGCCCAGGUUUUUGUUAGUGUCCGUCUCUCUUAUAAAAUGUUGACCUCGAAUCAGGUAGGAAUACCCGCUGAACUUAA
Molecule: unclassified non-coding RNA, 222 nt
Filed under: uncultured Ascomycota
Lineage: Eukaryota; Fungi; Ascomycota
Description: sequence contains ITS2
Source: RNAcentral